GAGCUUGCUUUCUCGAGCGAGUGGCGAACGGGUGAGUAACGCGUGAGGAACCUGCCUCAAAGAGGGGGACAACAGUUGGAAACGACUGCUAAUACCGCAUAAGCCCACGGCUCGGCAUCGAGCAGAGGGAAAAGGAGCAAUCCGCUUUGAGAUGGCCUCGCGUCCGAUUAGCUAGUUGGUGAGGUAAUGGCCCACCAAGGCGACGAUCGGUAGCCGGACUGAGAGGUUGAACGGCCACAUUGGGACUGAGACACGGCCCAGACUCCUACGGGAGGCAGCAGUGGGGAAUAUUGCACAAUGGGGGAAACCCUGAUGCAGCGACGCCGCGUGGAGGAAGAAGGUCUUCGGAUUGUAAACUCCUGUUGUUGGGGAAGAUAAUGACGGUACCCAACAAGGAAGUGACGGCUAACUACGUGCCAGCAGCCGCGGUAAAACGUAGGUCACAAGCGUUGUCCGGAAUUACUGGGUGUAAAGGGAGCGCAGGCGGGAAGACAAGUUGGAAGUGAAAUCUAUGGGCUCAACCCAUAAACUGCUUUCAAAACUGUUUUUCUUGAGUAGUGCAGAGGUAGGCGGAAUUCCCGGUGUAGCGGUGGAAUGCGUAGAUAUCGGGAGGAACACCAGUGGCGAAGGCGGCCUACUGGGCACCAACUGACGCUGAGGCUCGAAAGUGUGGGUAGCAAACAGGAUUAGAUACCCUGGUAGUCCACACCGUAAACGAUGAUUACUAGGUGUUGGAGGAUUGACCCCUUCAGUGCCGCAGUUAACACAAUAAGUAAUCCACCUGGGGAGUACGACCGCAAGGUU
This 804-nucleotide ribosomal RNA is filed under the name uncultured bacterium. RNAcentral's name for it is "bacterial SSU rRNA". It matches the Rfam family "Bacterial small subunit ribosomal RNA", at positions 76 to 895 of the family's 1533-position model. The record is from RNAcentral.